Molecule: transfer RNA, 63 nt
Filed under: Rattus norvegicus (Norway rat)
Lineage: Eukaryota; Metazoa; Chordata; Mammalia; Rodentia; Muridae
Rfam family: tRNA
About the family: Transfer RNA (tRNA) molecules are approximately 80 nucleotides in length. Their secondary structure includes four short double-helical elements and three loops (D, anti-codon, and T loops).
Source: Rfam by way of RNAcentral
GGGGAUUUAGCUCAGUGGUAGAGUGCUUGCCUAGCAAGCAUAAGGCCCUGGGUUUAGUCCUCA